This 425-nucleotide ribosomal RNA is filed under the name uncultured bacterium. RNAcentral describes it as "bacterial SSU rRNA". It matches the Rfam family "Bacterial small subunit ribosomal RNA", at positions 355 to 772 of the family's 1533-position model. The record is from RNAcentral.
UGGGGAAUUUUGGACAAUGGGGGAAACCCUGAUCCAGCCAUUCCGUGUGAGUGAAGAAGGCCUUCGGGUUGUAAAGCUCUUUCGGCAGGGAAGAAACGGUCCUGGAUAAUACCUUGGGCUAAUGACGGUACCUGAAGAAGAAGCACCGGCUAACUAAGUGCCAGCAGCCGCGGUAAUACGUAGGGUGCGAGCGUUAAUCGGAAUUACUGGGCGUAAAGCGUACGCAGGCGGUUUUGUAAGACAGGUGUGAAAUCCCCGGGCUUAACCUGGGAACUGCGCUUGUGACCGCAAGACUCGAGUACGGCAGAGGGGGGUAGAAUUCCACGUGUAGCAGUGAAAUGCGUAGAGAUGUGGAGGAAUACCGAUGGCGAAGGCAGCCCCCUGGGUCGAUACUGACGCUCAUGCACGAAAGCGUGGGGAGCAAA